This is a small nuclear RNA of Pseudophryne corroboree (corroboree frog), 114 nucleotides long. RefSeq annotates it as U5 spliceosomal RNA. The record is from RefSeq and is a predicted model, not a curated record. Lineage: Eukaryota; Metazoa; Chordata; Amphibia; Anura; Myobatrachidae. The transcript has a single exon.
AUACUCUGGUUUCUCUUCAUAGAUCUUUCGUUUUUUACUAAAGAUUUCCGUAGACAGAAACAACCAUGAGUUUCAUAUAAAUAUGCUGUUCAGCAAUAAAAUAUAUAUAUGACA